Molecule: long non-coding RNA, 342 nt
Organism: Myotis myotis
Lineage: Eukaryota; Metazoa; Chordata; Mammalia; Chiroptera; Vespertilionidae
Exons: 2
Source: RefSeq, a predicted model, not a curated record
GGGGCGGCAGGCGGGGCCCAGGUGAGGAGCCUGCGCUGCCUGCCGGUGGAGAAGGAAGAAGGAAGAGUGGAGGCCAGGGCGGCGGUUGAAUCCUGGGCCUGACUCCCCUUCCUCUCCUCAGCACUCACUCUCUGGGGGUCAGGUGGCCUGGUGACAGGGUGAGCAGGGCCCAGGCCUGCCAGUCCUGUACUGCCCUGACCAGAGCCGGUGCGCCCCCUGCCGGCAAAGACAAAGAAAGACGCAGAGUGUUAUGUGAGAAUGCGCAGGCGCACUCCCCCCUCCCCGCAGCCAGGCCCAUGGAGCCUUGACUUUUGCUUCAGUAAUAAAAAUUUAUUGAGAAUU